Molecule: ribosomal RNA, 253 nt
Filed under: uncultured bacterium
Lineage: Bacteria
Description: partial 16S ribosomal RNA
Rfam family: Bacterial small subunit ribosomal RNA
Source: RNAcentral
UACGGAGGGUGCAAACGUUGCUCGGAAUCAUUGGGCGUAAAGCGCACGUAGGCGGCCUGUUAAGUCUGAUGUGAAAGCCCUGGGCUCAACCUGGGAAUGGCAUUGGAAACUGGCGACCUAGAGUGCGGUAGAGGGCAGUGGAAUUCCCGGUGUAGCAGUGAAAUGCGUAGAGAUCGGGAGGAACAUCUGUGGCGAAGGCGACUGCCUGGACCAGCACUGACACUGAGGCACGAAAGCGUGGGGAGCAAACAGG